RNAcentral lists this ribosomal RNA (237 nucleotides) under uncultured bacterium. RNAcentral's name for it is "partial 16S ribosomal RNA". It matches the Rfam family "Bacterial small subunit ribosomal RNA", at positions 524 to 760 of the family's 1533-position model. The record is from RNAcentral.
UACGAAGGGGGCUAGCGUUGUCCGGAAUCAUUGGGCGUAAAGCGCGCGUAGGCGGCCCGGUAAGUCCGCUGUGAAAGUCAGAGGCUCAACCUUUGAAAGCCGGUGGAUACUGGAUGGCUAGAGUACGGAAGAGGCGAGUGGAAUUCCUGGUGUAGCGGUGGAAUGCGCAGAUAUCAGGAGGAACACCAAUAGCGAAGGCAGCUCGCUGGGACGUUACUGACACUAAGGCGCGAAAGC